Molecule: ribosomal RNA, 568 nt
Filed under: uncultured bacterium
Lineage: Bacteria
Description: bacterial SSU rRNA
Rfam family: Bacterial small subunit ribosomal RNA
Source: RNAcentral
GCAGCAGUGAGGAAUAUUGGUCAAUGGACGUAAGUCUGAACCAGCCAAGUAGCGUGCAGGAUUGACGGCCCUAUGGGUUGUAAACUGCUUUUGUUGGGGAGUAAAGUGAGGCACGCGUGCCUUUUUGCAUUUACCCUUCGAAUAAGGACCGGCUAAUUCCGUGCCAGCAGCCGCGGUAAUACGGAAGGUCCAGGCGUUAUCCGGAUUUAUUGGGUUUAAAGGGAGUGUAGGCGGUCUGUUAAGCGUGUUGUGAAAUUUAGGUGCUCAACAUUUAACUUGCAGCGCGAACUGGCGGACUUGAGUGCACGCAACGUAUGCGGAAUUCAUGGUGUAGCGGUGAAAUGCUUAGAUAUCAUGACGAACUCCGAUUGCGAAGGCAGCGUACGGGAGUGUUACUGACGCUUAAGCUCGAAGGUGCGGGUAUCGAACAGGAUUAGAUACCCUGGUAGUCCGCACGGUAAACGAUGGAUGCCCGCUGUUAGCGCCUGGCGUUAGCGGCUAAGCGAAAGCAUUAAGCACCCCACCUGGGGAGUACGCCGGCAACGGUGAAACUCAAAGGAAUUGACGG